Long non-coding RNA from Ostrinia nubilalis (European corn borer), 320 nucleotides. RefSeq lists it as uncharacterized. Lineage: Eukaryota; Metazoa; Arthropoda; Insecta; Lepidoptera; Crambidae. The transcript has 3 exons. The record is from RefSeq and is a predicted model, not a curated record.
CGAGAACGUCAUGUACGCAAGGGGGUUCCACCAGCUGAGCAGGCGCUGUGAGGAGAAUGUGGUGGCGCAGCUAUAUGAAACGCAGCGCGUGCGUCGCGACGUAGCUGAAUAUAUGUCAGGUACAGGAGCCCCACUUUGCAUUGAAAUGUUGCUUGCCAUGUUACAGGAUACCAUUAACCCACCUGGGCCAUCCGCUGAUGUAAACGGAGGUCUGGGUGCCAUGAAUGCUGUUUAUAACCCAGUCCGACUUAAUCAACCUGGCGGAAGUCAGCGUAGGAAAAAUGGUAGAAUUCAUAUUAACUUGCCCAGGAUCGAUAGUC